Molecule: ribosomal RNA, 2057 nt
Filed under: Rothia sp. HMSC069C03
Lineage: Bacteria; Bacillati; Actinomycetota; Actinomycetes; Micrococcales; Micrococcaceae
Description: bacterial LSU rRNA
Rfam family: Bacterial large subunit ribosomal RNA
Source: RNAcentral
GUGUAAGUUAUUAAGGGCACACGGUGGAUGCCUUGGCAUUAAGAGCCGAUGAAGGACGUGUGAAUCUGCGAUAAGCCUCGGGGAGCCGAUAACUGGGCUGUGAUCCGAGGAUUUCCGAAUGGGGAAACCUGGCUCAUCUUCAUGGUGAGUUACCGCCAGCUGAAUGUAUAGGCUGGUUGGGGGGAACGCGGGGAAGUGAAACAUCUCAGUACCCGCAGGAAGAGAAAAUAAAGUAAUGAUUCUGUGAGUAGUGGCGAGCGAAAGCGGAAGAGACUAAACCUGUGGUGUGUGAUAGCGGUUAGGCGUUGCAUCAUGGGGGUUGUGGGAGUCACAGUGGCAGUUCUAACUGGCUGCCGGCAUGAUGUUCAGGAUGGUAGGUGAACGACUUGGAAUGGUCGGCCGUAGAGGGUGAGAGUCCCGUAAUCGAAAUUGUUCUGUCCGUGGUGUGGCCACCCGAGUAGCACGGGGCUCGUGGAAUCUCGUGUGAAUCUGCCAGGACCACCUGGUAAGUCUAAAUACUUCUUAAUGACCGAUAGUGAAUCAGUACCGUGAGGGAAUGGUGAAAAGUACCCCGGGAGGGGAGUGAAAUAGUACCUGAAACCGUGUGCUUACAAGCCGUUGGAGCCUUUUGGGGUGACAGCGUGCCUUUUGAAGAAUGAGCCUGCGAGUUAGUGUUAUGUCGCGAGGUUAACCCGUGUGGGGUAUCCGUAGCGAAAGCGAGUCUGAAUAGGGCGUUUGAGUGGCAUGACCUAGACCCGAAGCGGAGUGAUCUAUCCAUGGCCAGGUUGAAGCGACGGUAAGACGUCGUGGAGGACCGAACCCACUUCAGUUGAAAAUGGAGGGGAUGAGCUGUGGAUAGGGGUGAAAGGCCAAUCAAACUCUGUGAUAGCUGGUUCUCCCCGAAAUGCAUUUAGGUGCAGCGUUACGUGUUUCUUGCCGGAGGUAGAGCUACUGGAUGGCCGAUGGGCCUUCACGGGUUACUGACGUCAGCUAAACUCCGAAUGCCGGUAAGUGAGAGCGUAGCAGUGAGACAGUGGGGGAUAAGCUUCAUUGUCGAGAGGGAAACAGCCCAGACCACCAACUAAGGCCCCUAAGCGUGUGCUAAGUGGGAAAGGAUGUGGAGUUGCUUAGACAACCAGGAGGUUGGCUUAGAAGCAGCCAUCCUUGAAAGAGUGCGUAACAGCUCACUGGUCAAGUGAUUCUGCGCCGAUAAUGUAGCGGGGCUCAAGUACACCGCCGAAGUUGUGGCAAUGACCUUUUUUGGUUGUUGGGUAGGGGAGCGUCGUGUAGCCGGUGAAGCUGCGGUGUAAACCAGUGGUGGAGGCUAUGCGAGUGAGAAUGCAGGCAUGAGUAGCGAAAGAUGAGUGAGAAACUCAUCCGCCGGAUGAUCAAGGGUUCCAGGGUCAAGUUAAUCUGCCCUGGGUUAGUCGGGGCCUAAGGCGAGGCCGACAGGCGUAGUCGAUGGAUAACGGGUUGAUAUUCCCGUACCGGUGAAAAACCGCCCAUACUGAUAUUGUGAUGCUAACCAUGCGAAGCAUGAUGUGCAGGCUUUUGUUUGUGUGUUGUGUGGGUUGUGGGACCCGAUCUUUGGAGGUAAACGUAUUAACAGGUGUGACGCAGGAAGGUAGCCAAGCCACGCGAUGGUUGUCGUGGUCUAAGCGUGUAGGGUUGUCGGUUGUUAAAUGCGCCGGCUGUGUGCCUGAGACGUGAUGGGACCCCGUUUUUGGGGGAUUUGGUGAUCCUAUGCUGCCGAGAAAAGCAUCGGCGUGAGGUUUUAGCCGCCCGUACCCUAAACCGACACAGGUGAUCAGGUAGAGAAUACUAAGGCGAUCGAGAGAAUCAUGGUUAAGGAACUCGGCAAAAUGCCCCCGUAACUUCGGGAGAAGGGGGACCUUGAGCGUGAUGGGCACUUGCUGCCUGGAGCGUGUAUGGGUCGCAGAGACCAGGGGGAAGCGACUGUUUAUCAAAAACACAGGUCCGUGCGAAGUCGUAAGACGAUGUAUACGGACUGACUCCUGCCCGGUGCUGGAAGGUUAAGAGGAUUGGUUAGCCCUUUU